UACGUAGGGGGCGAGCGUUGUUCGGAAUCACUGGGCGUAAAGCGCGUGUAGGCGGCCCUUUAAGUCCGAUGUGAAAGCCCGGGGCUCACCCCCGGAAGUGCAUUGGAUACUGAAGGGCUGGAGUACCGGAGAGGAGGGUGGAAUUCCUGGUGUAGCGGUGAAAUGCGUAGAUAUCAGGAGGAACACCUGUGGCGAAGGCGGCCCUCUGGACGGAUACUGACGCUGAGGUGCGAAAGCGUGGGGAGCAAACAGG
Molecule: ribosomal RNA, 253 nt
Filed under: uncultured bacterium
Lineage: Bacteria
Description: partial 16S ribosomal RNA
Rfam family: Bacterial small subunit ribosomal RNA
Source: RNAcentral